AUGAGCCCCUCCCAGGGCCAGAUGCCUCCCAGGGGGCUUCCCUGCUCCAUGCGAGCCCUGAGGAAGAUCCCAGGGGCUUCGGCUUCCCCUUUGCCUGCCCCGGGGGAGCUGCCCCUGCCUGUCUGCCUUCUCUCUAGGUGCGCUGGGGGGCUUGGAGACCCCCUGUUGUUCCCACCAGCUGCUCAGCUGCGGCUGCCCCCACGGGGAAGCACCCCAAAGCCUGGCUGGGUGCAGGGCUUGGCGCAGCUCCCUGCCAGGACACGUGUGUGUAGGAGCAGGUGGCCCUUGGAGAGGCUGGAGGGCCCUGGCAGGAAAGCUGUGCCUGGAUUUGGGGGGGUUUCUGCACAUUCCCAUGGCUGCGGGGACAACGGUGCAGGAAAAAGGGAAGGUUUUCAGCUGAACUUCAACCCAGGAAUGUUUUUGCUCUGCUGCGACUGCAUUAAGGACAUGCUCUUUUUUUUCAUUUUGUUGGUUUUGCCUGCAUUAAAGCGAGACCCGCUGGCAAAGCCACUUUCUUGUACAGCCACAUCCCAAAGGAAAACCCAGAGGGAGGGCCUGGUCCGAUCCUUCUGGCACCCGGGGCUGCGAGGCCCCCCGGCAGCCCUCGGUGCUCCGAGCGGAGUGCCUGGGGCUGGACGGGGAAGCAGGAAGGCAUCCGCCUCUCAGAAGACAAGCGGGAGGCAGUCGGUGACCUUGCACUUGCCGUGUUUACAAGCCGGCGUGUGGCGGCACGUGCCUCGCAGGCAGCGCUGCGCGGGGACGUGGGGAGCUGCUUACCGCACGGCAAAUCCUCACCGCUUGACCCCCGCUCGAGGGUUCAGACGUGGCUUAAGUGGUGUUAUGAGAUGGAUUUUAGGGCCUGCUUCUGUUUACUUGAUGAAAAGGCUGCUCUGGAAGCGCAGACAAAAGUUGGAAAUGCAGCCUCGCGGAUCAGACAGUGCUCGCUGUGGGGUAAGGGAACAGCUCCUCCACGUCCGUAAUCACAGUCAGGGUCCUAAUCCCCCGACAAGAGGGGCUGGGGGGGAGCUGCGCCAACCUAACCCAGCCCAACCCAACCUAAAAACCUCACCUUUUCAGGUUUCAAAACACAACACUUUAUUUAACCUGGAACUAGCCUUUUAUUUGGGCUUGGGGUUUUCAGAAAUCACAGACAAAGAUUGUUUGGAAACAGAUAAGAUGCAUUUUCACAUGGGUGAAAAUUCACAGUGA
Molecule: long non-coding RNA, 1209 nt
Filed under: Anser cygnoides (Swan goose)
Lineage: Eukaryota; Metazoa; Chordata; Aves; Anseriformes; Anatidae
Description: lncRNA (ENSACDG00005004062.1)
Source: RNAcentral